Long non-coding RNA from Leptidea sinapis, 450 nucleotides. RefSeq lists it as uncharacterized. NCBI's taxonomy places the organism in Eukaryota, Metazoa, Arthropoda, Insecta, Lepidoptera, Pieridae. The transcript is spliced from 2 exons. The record is from RefSeq and is a predicted model, not a curated record.
GCGAGAGAACUGUAAGCAUAAACAAAGAGUGAAAAUAAGCUUUUCUAACGAAAACAUUGAAAAGGUUUAUCGAACAAAUAAUAAUGCAAAGACCGCGCAAUAUCACCGGGAUUCCUGUCUUUCCCAGCGGACGCAGUGUAACAAUUUCACCGAAUCCUUGUUUUGGUCCAAGCCGCCACAACCUCAGCCCAUGCUUCGCACCAGCUCCUCAACUACAGCCCCAGCCAAACCCCUGCUUCGUAACAGCGUCCUAUCUGCGUAAUACUUACCUUCAACAGAUGACGAACCAAGUUCCACGAUACGAUCCUUGUUUCAAAUGAUUUGUUUAUUAAACCCAACCUUAGUUGAAUCUCGGAAACCAUUUAGUGUGUGAGCAUGUUAUAUUAUGUAUCGCUAUAAUAUUAUUAUUAAGUGACCCGUUUUAUAAUAAAAAUAUUUUAAUUUAUAUAA